RNAcentral lists this ribosomal RNA (472 nucleotides) under uncultured bacterium. RNAcentral describes it as "partial 16S ribosomal RNA". It matches the Rfam family "Bacterial small subunit ribosomal RNA", at positions 28 to 507 of the family's 1533-position model. The record is from RNAcentral.
GACGAACGCUGGCGGCGUGCUUAACACAUGCAAGUCGAACGCUGAAGCUUGGUGCUUGCACUGGGUGGAUGAGUGGCGAACGGGUGAGUAAUACGUGAGUAACCUGCCCUUGACUCUGGGAUAAGCCUGGGAAACUGGGUCUAAUACUGGAUACGACAUGUCACCGCAUGGUGGUGUGUGGAAAGGGUUUUACUGGUUUUGGAUGGGCUCACGGCCUAUCAGCUUGUUGGUGGGGUAAUGGCUCACCAAGGCGACGACGGGUAGCCGGCCUGAGAGGGUGACCGGCCACACUGGGACUGAGACACGGCCCAGACUCCUACGGGAGGCAGCAGUGGGGAAUAUUGCACAAUGGGCGGAAGCCUGAUGCAGCGACGCCGCGUGAGGGAUGACGGCCUUCGGGUUGUGAACCUCUUUCAGCACGGAAGAAGCGAAAGUGACGGUACGUGCAGAAGAAGCGCCGGCUAACUACGUG